Chrysemys picta bellii (western painted turtle) is the source of this 1471-nucleotide long non-coding RNA. RefSeq lists it as uncharacterized. The record is from RefSeq and is a predicted model, not a curated record. Lineage: Eukaryota; Metazoa; Chordata; Testudines; Emydidae.
CACUCCAAACCCCUCAUCCCCAGCUCCAUUGGGUCAUGUGCAUCAACAAUUUUCUUUAACUGGGUCACCAGAAAAAAAGUGUGAAAACCAUUGGUUUACACUACACUGUUUUGUCAGUGAAAGGCAUGUCACUUUUGCAGACAAAAUUCUUCUGUUUUGGCAACAAAAUAAAACCACCUGUAUGAGAGGCAUAGGGCUUUUCGCAGCAAAGUUUUAGUGACAAAGAAUCAGUGUAGACAUCAUGCUUGGUUUUGUUGCUGUAAAUGGCUUCCAGGAGGUGUUCUAUAAUGCCCAUCCUGACUGCUCUGGUCAGCAGUUUGAACUCCACUGCCCUGCACAAGCAUCCACUGCUUCCCUUCUAAAGGCCCAGGAAUUUUUGAAAUUCCACUUCCUGUUUGGUGUGGAGAACUCACAUCUCAUCUUUGCAGCUGACCAUGGUGGCUCCACGAGGCAAAUGCUCCCCCUCUUGGACCACAGCAGAACUGUUGGAUCUGCUCAGUAUAUGGGGAGAGGAGGUUGUGCAGUUCCAGCUGCACUCCAGCCAUAGGUACUUUGACACGAAGGGCAGAUUUCUCAUGGCUUGUGUGAUAAGGGCUAUGAUCAGAACAUGGUAUAGUGGUGAGCAAAGAUAAAGGAGCUGAGACAGGCAUACCAGAAGGUAAGGGAGGCAAACCAUUGCUCCAGUGCUGCGCUGAAGACCGUCCGCUUCUAUGAGGAGCUGGAUGCCAUCCUCGGUGGCCUCCCCACCUCCACCACCCAAAGCCCCAUGGAUAUUUUGGUGGGACUGGAGGUGGUGGACAAUGGACCUAAUCGUGAGGACGAAGUCGUGGCUGAGGAAGUGGACUUGGAGGACAAUAUGGAGCCCACAGCAGGGUCGUCUGAUGGUGCGGCAAGUCAGGAACUCUCCACUCCGGAGUUGUCUAGCCAGUCCCAGCAGUCAGUCUCCAGCAAGCAAGAUGCAGGAGAGGAGACCCCUGCAGGCCCAGCUCUUGACAUGUGGCUCGGACUGUCAAGGAUGUGUUGGACUUGGGCUUGAGACCUGGCCCUGAUAAGCUUCUUGUCGAGGGCUCUGCCGAGGCGGACCCGAUUAUCUGGGCAGCAGUGGAGGUGGCCGGAAAUGUCUCCUUGAGGCUGGAGGUGUGUACAGCCUGCAGUCCCUGCAGCCUGGUCUCCCUUUGCUGUGAAAACAGAAUGUUGCCCUUAAGGGGAGGUCCUGGUGGACAGCUGAACCUGGUGCAAGAGCCCUGAGGACUGGAGCCACGAACUGUGCCGCAUGGAGAUGGCCGAUGCCAUCGACUGAGUUGCAGAAUCAGCUGUGUCCAACGUCGCUUGCAGAGAGGCCCUGGCCACUGCCUUGCCCUCUUCCAAGAUGGCCAAGAAUUCCUGCCUUGACUCAUGGGGCAGAGAGUCCUUGAACUUGGCCAUUGAGUCCCAAGUAUCAUCUCAGCAAUGCUUGCUGGUUGGCGAUACG